This 497-nucleotide ribosomal RNA is filed under the name uncultured bacterium. RNAcentral describes it as "partial 16S ribosomal RNA". It matches the Rfam family "Bacterial small subunit ribosomal RNA", at positions 28 to 507 of the family's 1533-position model. The record is from RNAcentral.
GAUGAACGCUGGCGGCGUGCCUAACACAUGCCAGUCGAGCGAACGGACGAGAAGCUCGCUUCUCUGAUGUUAGCGGCUGACGGGCGGGUAACACGUGGAUAACCAACCUCUAUUACGGGGAUAACUUCGGGAAACCGGUGCUAAUACCAGAUAAUAUUUUCUACCGCAUGGUUCAAAAGUGAAAGACGGUCUUCCUGUCACUUAUAGACGGAUCCGCGCUGCAUUAGCUAGUUGGUAAGGUAACGGCUUACCAAGGCAACGAUGCGUAGCCGACCUGAGAGGAUGAUCGGCCACACUGGAACUGAGACACGGUCCAGACUCCUACGGGAGGCAGCAGUAGGGAAUAUUCGGCAAUGGGCGAAAGCCUGACGGAGCAACGCCGCGUGGGUGAUGAAGGUCUUCGGAUCGUAAAGCUCUGUUAUUAGGGAAGAACAUAUGUGUAAGUAACUGUGCACAUCUUGACGGUACCUAAUGAGAAAGCCACGGCUAACUACGUG